UACUAGGUGUGGGAGGAUUCUACCCGUUCCGUGCCGCAGCUAACGCAAUAAGUAUCCCGCCUGGGGAGUACGACCGCAAGGUUGAAACUCAAAGGAAUUGACGCGGGCCCGCACAAGCGGUGGAGCAUGCGGUUUAUUUCGAGGCAACGCGAAGAACCUUACCAGGGCUUGACAUCACCGUAAGGAACCGUGGCUCCUUGGAAACAGGGAGUCUUAGGUAGACAGGUGUUGCAUGGCUGUCGUCAGCUCGUGUCGUGAGAUGCGGGGUUAAGUCCCGCAACGAGCGCAACCCCUAUCUCUAGUUGCCAGCGGUCCGGCCGGGGACUCUAGAGAAACUGCCGUCUCAAAACGGAGGAAGGUGGGGACGACGUCAAGUCAUCAUGGCCCUUAUCUCCUGGGCUACACGCGUGCUACAAUGGGUAAUACAAAUGGAUGCAAUACCGAAAGGUGGAGCAAAUCCCAAAAAAUUAGUCCCAGUUCAGAUUGGGGUCUGUAACUCGACCCCAUGAAGGCGGAAUCGCUAGUAAUCGCGUAUCAGCUACGACGCGGUGAAUACGUUCCCGGGCCUUGCACACACCGCCCGUCACAUGACCCGAGUUGGCUGCUCCCGAAGUCGCAUAUCUAACCUCGUGAGGAAUGUGCCGAAGGAGUGGCUGGUAAGGGGGAUGAAGUCGUAACAAGGUAGCCGUAUCGGAAGGUGCGGCUGGAUCACCU
This 714-nucleotide ribosomal RNA is filed under the name uncultured bacterium. RNAcentral describes it as "bacterial SSU rRNA". It matches the Rfam family "Bacterial small subunit ribosomal RNA", at positions 814 to 1528 of the family's 1533-position model. The record is from RNAcentral.